RNAcentral lists this long non-coding RNA (692 nucleotides) under Heterocephalus glaber (naked mole-rat). RNAcentral's name for it is "lncRNA (ENSHGLG00100049333.1)". Lineage: Eukaryota; Metazoa; Chordata; Mammalia; Rodentia; Bathyergidae. The record is from RNAcentral.
GGACUCUUCUCAUCCAGUAGCUUUGGCCUUUGGACUUCCAGGGCUCCUCCUCUCUGUAGCAAUAAAGCUUCCAACUCAGAAUCUCAGUUGAAAACAACAAUGAUGAUAAAGUGUGUUCAGUCUUUCCUGGGACUGGUAUAGUGGAAGUUCUCCAGAAUCAAGCCACUGAAGGGCAAGAUUAGAGAGGAGACAUACUGUGGAGUCUUCUCCAGAAAGGAAAGGAAACAGAAAUGUAAAAUUCAGUAACUAUCCUGUCCCCUGUGGAUGGCAGUAUGUGGAUAGGGAGUAGGCUUUUAUUGCAAAAAUGGAGUUUUAAUGUCACAAAAUGGAAUAUGAUACAAAGCUCCCAUGGAUUUUCCUAAAGUCAAGAAGAUUAAAGUUCUUGAAUGGCAUUGUAAAAAUAAUGAAAUAUGCGAGAUUCUUGCAAUAAUCCUGUGGAAGAAUAAAGAAAUGUAUCACCAAUCACGUUUUUCAGGUAAGGAAAUUCACAUAACCACAUGCACACGGACUCUCUCAAGGUCACAGAGCAAACUGAAGUCAGAGCCAGCUUUAGAAAGGAAGCUGAUAUUUGUGCGCAUCAAUUAUGCAUCAGACACUGAGCUUAUUUGUUACCUCAACAAAUUUAGGAAUUUUUAUCAUCUACAUUUUACAAAUGAAGAAACUGAGGCUGAGAGAUACAGAACAAUAUUGCC